This 423-nucleotide long non-coding RNA is filed under the name Homo sapiens (human). RNAcentral describes it as "long intergenic non-protein coding RNA 1374, transcript variant 2 (LINC01374)". The record is from RNAcentral. Lineage: Eukaryota; Metazoa; Chordata; Mammalia; Primates; Hominidae.
GGCUCUGCACCCUUCCGGCCGCUAAGACAAGGCCUCAGACACGGGGUUCUGCCCUGUCUACUGUCAGCAGAGCCAAGCUGAGAAGGAUGGGCACGAGAAAAGGUUGCUAACUUUGGAGGAAGCCAGCUGCCAUGUCACAAAAAGAUUCAGGAAGCCAUGUGGAGAGGCCCACAUCAUGAGGAACUGAGGUCUUUGCCAAUUACCAGCAAGGAAAUGAGGCCUCCUGCCAACAGCCACGUGAGUAUCCUACCUUGGAAAUGGACCCUCUAACUUCAAUCAGCCUUCAAAUAACUGCAGCCCCAGUUGAUGGCUUGACUGCAACCUUAGGAGAAACCCUGAGCCAAAAACAUUGAGGAAAAACACCCCCAGAUUCCUAUCAGAAAUUGUGUAAGAUAAUAAAUGUUUGUUGUUUUAAGCUGCUAA